This is a small nucleolar RNA of Pristis pectinata (smalltooth sawfish), 65 nucleotides long. RefSeq annotates it as small nucleolar RNA SNORD58. Lineage: Eukaryota; Metazoa; Chordata; Chondrichthyes; Rhinopristiformes; Pristidae. The transcript has a single exon. The record is from RefSeq and is a predicted model, not a curated record.
UUGCAAUGAUGACAAUCUUAGGACACCUUUGGAAUAACCGUGAAAAGAAUUCAUGUCUGAGCUUC